This 75-nucleotide antisense RNA is filed under the name Streptomyces mangrovisoli. RNAcentral's name for it is "ASpks TB sRNA". It matches the Rfam family "ASpks TB sRNA". Lineage: Bacteria; Bacillati; Actinomycetota; Actinomycetes; Kitasatosporales; Streptomycetaceae. The record is from Rfam by way of RNAcentral.
CUUCAACGACCCGAGCCACAGCGGGUGUUCGCGACUGGAGUCCUGCCCGUAGGUGGCGAGCAAGGCCUGUGCCUC